Heterocephalus glaber (naked mole-rat) is the source of this 676-nucleotide long non-coding RNA. NCBI's taxonomy places the organism in Eukaryota, Metazoa, Chordata, Mammalia, Rodentia, Bathyergidae. The record is from Ensembl.
GGUGCCAAGGUGGCGGUCUGGGCUUCUUCCCACCCCGGGGAAGGUGCAGAGCCCAUGACAAGCAGCCUGGUGGCGGUGCUCCCCCUGGUCCUCAUUAACUCAGUUCCUGUAAGUUCCUUUGCACCAGUUGUUCACAAGAACAUUGAAGAAAAAUGAUUAUUCUACAGUGGAGAUUCCCAAACCAAGCUUGGGGAGGUGGGCAGAUGCUCCUGGAUACUGAUUCAGAUGGAACACAAAGUGUGGUCCAUAAACUUUUGCAAAAGAAGGAGGAGGAAGAGGAGAAGAGAGAGAAAGAAGAGGAGAGGGAGAAGAAGAGGAGGGAAAGGACUAAGACUCGGGCUGAAGGAGCAGCCCCUAAAUAUGACAUCCGGCAACAGGCCUACUGAUCCAUCAACAUUGCUCUGCCCCAUCCUAACCAUGGAAAGCGGACAUCCACUUCCGCACAGGAAGAUCACAGAUGCAAAAGCCCUUCCUGAGAAACUGCAAUCAUGAACUGCAAUGCAACCUGCCACCUUGUAGAUUUCUUUCCAUGAGCACAUAGAAAGGUGGAACUCUGGAGAGGCCCUUAGAAGAAAAACUUGGGAGAUUCCUGCUACCGGGAUAAAUUGAAAACCCAAUUCUAAAACACACUGAUUGCUCCCAAUCUGAGUUGCAUCAGUAGUUUGUUACACAAACC